CUACGAAGGCGGCAAGCGUUGUUCGGAAUAACUGGGCGUAAAGCGCACGUAGGCGGAAUGUUAAGUUAGAGGUGAAAUCCCAGGGCUCAACCCUGGAACGGCCUUUAAUACUGGCAAUCUAGAGACCGAGAGAGGUGAGUGGAAUUCCGAGUGUAGAGGUGAAAUUCGUAGAUAUUCGGAGGAACACCAGUGGCGAAGGCGGCUCACUGGCUCGGUACUGACGCUGAGGUGCGAAAGCGUGGGGAGCAAACAGGAUUAGAAACCCUAGUAGUCC
This 274-nucleotide ribosomal RNA is filed under the name uncultured bacterium. Its description in RNAcentral is "partial 16S ribosomal RNA". It matches the Rfam family "Bacterial small subunit ribosomal RNA", at positions 523 to 796 of the family's 1533-position model. The record is from RNAcentral.